This 490-nucleotide ribosomal RNA is filed under the name uncultured bacterium. RNAcentral describes it as "partial 16S ribosomal RNA". It matches the Rfam family "Bacterial small subunit ribosomal RNA", at positions 30 to 507 of the family's 1533-position model. The record is from RNAcentral.
AUUGAACGCUGGCGGCAUGCUUUACACAUGCAAGUCGAACGGCAGCGGGGUAGUGCUUGCACUACUGCCGGCGAGUGGCGAACGGGUGAGUAAUAUAUCGGAACGUACCGAGUAAUGGGGGAUAACCAAUCGAAAGAUUGGCUAAUACCGCAUACGUCCUGAGGGAGAAAGCGGGGGAUCGCAAGACCUCGCGUUAUUCGAGCGGCCGAUAACUGAUUAGCUAGUUGGUGGGGUAAAGGCCUACCAAGGCGACGAUCAGUAGCGGGUCUGAGAGGACGAUCCGCCACACUGGGACUGAGACACGGCCCAGACUCCUACGGGAGGCAGCAGUGGGGAAUUUUGGACAAUGGGGGCAACCCUGAUCCAGCCAUGCCGCGUGUAUGAAGAAGGCCUUCGGGUUGUAAAGUACUUUUGUUAGGGAAGAAAAGGGAUGUGCUAAUACCACUUUUUGCUGACGGUACCUAAAGAAUAAGCACCGGCUAACUACGUG